This 253-nucleotide ribosomal RNA is filed under the name uncultured bacterium. Its description in RNAcentral is "partial 16S ribosomal RNA". It matches the Rfam family "Bacterial small subunit ribosomal RNA", at positions 524 to 776 of the family's 1533-position model. The record is from RNAcentral.
UACGUAGGGUGCAAGCGUUAAUCGGAAUUACUGGGCGUAAAGCGUGCGCAGGCGGUUAUGCAAGACAGAGGUGAAAUCCCCGGGCUCAACCUGGGAACUGCCUUUGUGACUGCAUAGCUAGAGUACGGUAGAGGGGGAUGGAAUUCCGCGUGUAGCAGUGAAAUGCGUAGAUAUGCGGGGGAACACCGAUGGCGAAGGCAAUCCCCUGGACCUGUACUGACGCUCAUGCACGAAAGCGUGGGGAGCAAACAGG